UGUAAGCGUAUACCAAAGUUGUUGCAGUUAAAACGCUCGUAGUCGGAAUUUGGCAGUUCCGGAUGUGUGCACGUCGUGUGCGCACUUCGCGGGGAUUGCUUUUGUGGUCUUGCGUAGGAAGAGGCACUUUUAUUAGUGAACGUCCUCACGCAACCACUUUUUACUGUGAGAAAAUCAGAGUGCUCAAAGCAGGCAUUUGCCGUGAAUGUAUUAGCAUGGAAUAAUAGAAUAGGACUUGGUUCUAUUUUGUUGGUUUGUUGGGACUGAGUAAUGAUUAAGAGGGACAGUUGGGGGCAUUUGUAUUUCGGUGCUAGAGGUGAAAUUCUUAGAUUACCGAAAGACAAACUGCUGCGAAAGCGUCUGCCAAGGAUGUUUUCAUUGA
This 382-nucleotide ribosomal RNA is filed under the name uncultured eukaryote. Its description in RNAcentral is "partial 18S ribosomal RNA". It matches the Rfam family "Eukaryotic small subunit ribosomal RNA", at positions 592 to 976 of the family's 1831-position model. The record is from RNAcentral.